UAAGAGUCUAUCCUAUAAAAAUGAGAGAAUCAGUGGUGUGUGUGGGGUGGGGAGGGGGAGGUGUGUGUGUGUGUGUGUGUGUGUGUGUGUAUGGAAGGUUAUCGCAGCAUUGUUGCACUGGCCAAAAAAAAAGAAACCCAAAUGACCUGAUGUUCACCAAUAGGGCUGUACAAGUUAGGAUAUGCUACUUUAUCCAAAGGAAAUAAGCCAAAUAGCUCAAAAAAGUCAAUGGCCUAAAACAGGUUUCCUUGAAAUACUGCAGGAGAGCUGCACAAAUUGCCCUCAGGAGACCAGGUGGAGGGUCCUUCCGGGGAUGUGUGUUCACUCUUGCCACAGCUGGAGGAAGCAGGCCCUGAGUCUUGCACUGCAAAGUGAUGAGAAGGAAGCCCUGGUUAUGCUGGACUUGAAGACAUGCCUGCCGGAAGGGCCAUCAGAGUACUUCUGCAUAAACAACAGGAUCUGACUCCAGGUCUCCCAGGACGGAAGGGGCACUUGCAGGCCCAUGUGCUCAAUGGCAGGGUAAGAACAAGGGCUGGAACCCAGGCAGGCGCUCUGUGUUCUCUGGAGGGAGGGCACAUAGCACGCAGACUCCGGCUUGGGCAUCCCUUUGGCUGAAUUUGACUUCUGGUAAUUCCCACUUCCUUAAACCACUCUCUUAAGCCACGCAGAACAUCUCAGUGGCCCAGCCUACUUACAAGUUGUCCCCUGUUGAAUGGGGUAGGAGGAAAAGAUCUCGAGCAGGAGGCACAAGGGAAGAUGGUCCAAAAUGGAGAUGGGGUGGCUGGUAGGAAAGGUUUGCAUAUUGCAGAAAAAUGACCACUACAAAUUUAAUUUCAUCAAAGUUAUGCUUUAAAAAUGCAACCAAAAAUUCAAGAUGAAAAUACCCUAAGACACAGAAAUUCCAUUCUAAUGCAGACACUAAGAAAAACUCUCAUACCUGUGUACAAAGAGACAGGCACAAGGAUGUUUACUGCAGUAACAUAAGAGGGCAAAAAAUGGAAACACCUAAAUGUCAUCAACAGGGUAAGUGGUAAAUGUAUUGUGAAAUAUUCACAUGGUAAAAUACUAUUGCCAGUUUAAAUCAAUGAACUAAAGCCACAUGUUUUAUUCCUUCUUGAUUAUUCUUAGAAAACCUGUACUCUCUAUAUAGGAUCUCCUUUUCUCCCCUCCGUGUUAUUUUUCAUUGUGUUUGUCUCUGUUGUUCUCCACAUUUUUUUGUUGUUGUUGUUUUUUGAGAUGGAGUCUCAUUCUGUCACCCAGGCUGGAGUGUAAUAGCAUGAUCUCGGCUCACUGCAACCUCUGCCUCCCGGGUUCAAGUGAUUCUCCUGCCUCAGCCUCCUGAGUAGCUGGAAUUACAGGCACACACCAACACACCCAACUAAUUUUUGUAUUUUUAGAGACGGGGUUUCACCAUGUUGGCCAGGCUGGUCUUGAACUCCUGACCUCAAGUGAUCCACCUGCCUUGGCCUCCCAAAGUGCUGGGAUUACAGGCAUGAGCCACCCCACCCGGCCUCUACAUUUUUAAAAAUAAA
RNAcentral lists this long non-coding RNA (1532 nucleotides) under Piliocolobus tephrosceles (Ugandan red Colobus). RNAcentral's name for it is "lncRNA (ENSPTEG00000028123.1)". Lineage: Eukaryota; Metazoa; Chordata; Mammalia; Primates; Cercopithecidae. The record is from RNAcentral.